UGCUCAGAACAGGUGGAACUGUACAUAGUAAAUUCUAGAGAAAAAUUACAUUAUCUCUCUUUUUUUUUGUCUUUCAGGACAUUCAGCUGCAGCAAGCCCAGAUUUCCCAUUGUUUUCGAAAAUAUUCAGCCUUCUAGUAAUACUAAUUUUGUCUAUGAAAUGAACUCAAGCCAAGAAAUAACACAGAGGAUGGAAACACAGACUGCAGUUUUCACUUCUUGUCUUUACUUACUGGCUCAUCUGCUUACAAAGGACAGCAAGUAGUCGAGCAAGAUUUCAUAUAUGUUUUAACAACAAUGUUUUAAAUGCAAUGGUAUUGCAUUAUUAAAAUUACAAAACAUACUAUUUUCAUAUUUCUCACUAUGUUCUGUAACAACAGUUCAAAUGCAUUUAAUUUUUUCUAUAGCUGCCAACUGUCUGUAUUUUAUGAUUGUUACACUCUCAAAAUGAAACAUUUAAUUUGUUAGUAUUUUUUUCAUGUUGCAUGUCUGCAUACUGCAUCUGUCUCCUUGCUGAAGACAUAAAUGAAAUUAUGCACCCUGAAUACUAGGUGAAAGUAUUUACAUUUGUUUCCACUUACACUACCCUGAGCAGUCAUAACUCUUAAUGUUUAUGUCAUAAAAUUUGAGCGCUUUGUGCAGGGGAAUAAUUACUAAGUUUACUUCACUGACUUUGGAAUAAAAAUUUCUUUGGAUAUACAUCAGCGUAAAACCUAAGUAAGAUACUUAUAUCUGUUUGCUUUAGGGAAUCUAGCAAGUGGAAAUGUAGAGAGAAUACAGAGAUGCUACAAGAUAUAAAACCAGAUAAGCAUUAUAUACCUUGUGCAUUUUUCAUUUUUAUGAGUACCUUCUGAAAAAAAUGUUUUCUAAAAAGAAUGUAAAAUGAGUUUCUUAGCCAGCUGCAAAUGAAACUCAGAAAAGCUUUAUCAAAGUCAUUUUAUGUUUGACUUUUCACUGAGGCUGUGUAUUCUGUCAACUUUCUUUUUAUUUUGUUGCUACAUGACAAAUAUUCAGGUUAUGCAUAUAAAAAACUAGCUGUGAUUAUUCAUUAAAUGUGUGUGCAAUAAUCUUUCGCUGGGA
Protopterus annectens (West African lungfish) is the source of this 1079-nucleotide long non-coding RNA. RefSeq lists it as uncharacterized. The record is from RefSeq and is a predicted model, not a curated record. Lineage: Eukaryota; Metazoa; Chordata; Ceratodontiformes; Protopteridae. The transcript is spliced from 2 exons.